UUCGCGCGCGCAUACGCUUCUUCUUCUUCAUUCUUUCGUUGUCUCUUCGCUUGGUUUGAGUUUCUCCAAUAUCAUCCAUCGUUUUUCUCUCCUUCUUUCAUUCAUCAAUCGUCUCUUUGCACGCUCUCUCCUUCUUCAUCUCGUUUUAACUCGUUCUAACAAUUAACUCACACUCUGGAUUUCUGGAUAAGCUCGUGGCCUGGCUUUCGUUCAUCGAUUAACAAUCGCUCAAUUUAUAAUAGGAGGAUAGGAGGAGCUCCGUGACAAUUGUAAUUGAGGAUUUGAGGCAUCUAGAGCAGCAAGGUUUACUGUAAUUGUCAAUCAACAGGAGGUGAGGCGUGUACAAGGUGUUUGAAAAAAGUCCCAAAAGAAAGGAUGUACUGGAACGAUUAUGGGUACCGAAUUUGGGGGGCAACAAUUGUGAUGGCUGGGACAUGUUCAGCAACAGUCCUUAUAGCGUGUUGGCCGUGGUGACUGCGCAACAGAAGCGACAAUGCUAUUAAUUAUGUUCGAGGAGACAUUAAUAAUGGAGCUUUCCAAUGGGGUGACAGUGGACCAUAACAACCCACCAAUCCGAGAAUACACACCACUUCAAGUUAAGUCAGACUUUUCUUUUCAGAUAAAGCGCAUUCAAAGUGAGUCAUUUCAAAAAGUCGUAAGUGGGAUUGAAAAAGCAUUGCAUUCUAGAACUGUAGGCCUCACUUGUCAUCUUUUUACUUGGAUCUUUUUAUACCAUCUUUUUUAUCUUUGCAUUAUUGAU
Molecule: long non-coding RNA, 760 nt
Organism: Cucurbita moschata (crookneck pumpkin)
Lineage: Eukaryota; Viridiplantae; Streptophyta; Magnoliopsida; Cucurbitales; Cucurbitaceae
Exons: 3
Source: RefSeq, a predicted model, not a curated record